This is a long non-coding RNA of Limulus polyphemus (Atlantic horseshoe crab), 198 nucleotides long. RefSeq lists it as uncharacterized. The transcript is spliced from 2 exons. The record is from RefSeq and is a predicted model, not a curated record. Lineage: Eukaryota; Metazoa; Arthropoda; Merostomata; Xiphosura; Limulidae.
UAUAGACUGCUGGUUAGACACCUCAUCUCGAAACUAAAGGCCCCUUACUUUACAGUUAGAUUAACAAUAAUCUGUUCUUCGAUCGGUGGAAAAUCCAAGUUGGUCACCCAAUUUCCAAAUAUUGGUACAACAAACAAAAGCUAGACAGGUGCAGUUACAACAAAAGCCCACAAAAGAAGGAACGAAAAUCUUCCUAAA